GAUGAACGCUGGCGGCGUGCCUAAUACAUGCAAGUCGAGCGAACAGAUGAGGAGCUUGCUCCUCUGACGUUAGCGGCGGACGGGUGAGUAACACGUGGAUAACCUACCUAUAAGACUGGGAAAACUUCGGGAAACCGGAGCUAAUACCGGAUAAUAUAUUGAACCGCAUGGUUCAAUAGUGAAAGACGGUUUUGCUGUCACUUAUAGAUGGAUCCGCGCCGCAUUAGCUAGUUGGUAAGGUAACGGCUUACCAAGGCAACGAUGCGUAGCCGACCUGAGAGGGUGAGCGGCCACACUGGAACUGAGACACGGUCCAGACUCCUACGGGAGGCAGCAGUAGGGAAUCUUCCGCAAUGGGCGAAAGCCUGACGGAGCAACGCCGCGUGAGUGAUGAAGGUCUUCGGAUCGUAAAACUCUGUUAUUCGGGAAGAACAAAUGUGUAAGUAACUAUGCACGUCUUGACGGUACCUAAUCAGAAAGCCACGGCUAACUACGUG
This 497-nucleotide ribosomal RNA is filed under the name uncultured bacterium. RNAcentral's name for it is "partial 16S ribosomal RNA". It matches the Rfam family "Bacterial small subunit ribosomal RNA", at positions 28 to 507 of the family's 1533-position model. The record is from RNAcentral.